This 459-nucleotide ribosomal RNA is filed under the name uncultured bacterium. RNAcentral describes it as "partial 16S ribosomal RNA". It matches the Rfam family "Bacterial small subunit ribosomal RNA", at positions 338 to 795 of the family's 1533-position model. The record is from RNAcentral.
CCUACGGGAGGCAGCAGUGAGGAAUAUUGGUCAAUGGGCGGAAGCCUGAACCAGCCAAGCCGCGUGAAGGAAGAAGGCGCUAGGGGUCGUAAACUUCUUUUGUCGGGGAACAAAGGGCGCGACGUGUGGCGUUUUGAAUGUACCCGAAGAAAAAGCAUCGGCUAACUCCGUGCCAGCAGCCGCGGUAAUACGGAGGAUGCGAGCGUUAUCCGGAUUUAUUGGGUUAAAAGGGUGCGUAGGCGGACCGUAAAGGCAGCGGUAACAGCCCGGGGCCCACCCCAGGCGUGCCGUUGAAACUGUGGGACUGGAGACUGCGAGAGGUAGGCGGAAUGCGUGGUGUAGCGGUGAAAUGCCUAGAUAUCGCGCAGAACUCCGAUUGCGAAGGCAGCCUACCGGCGCCUGACUGACGCUGAGGCACGAAAGCGUGGGUAUCGAACAGGAUUAGAUACCCUUGUAGUC